GACAGAGGGUGCAAACGUUGCUCGGAAUUACUGGGCGUAAAGCGCGUGUAGGCGGGUCGGUAUGUCGGACGUGAAAUCCCUAGGCUCAACCUAGGAGCUGCGCUCGAAACUGCCGAUCUUGAGUGGUGGAGAGGGAAGUGGAAUUCCUGGUGUAGAGGUGAAAUUCGUAGAUAUCAGGAGGAACACCAGUGGCGAAGGCGGCUUCCUGGACACCAACUGACGCUGAGACGCGAAAGCGUGGGGAGCAAACAGG
RNAcentral lists this ribosomal RNA (253 nucleotides) under uncultured bacterium. RNAcentral describes it as "partial 16S ribosomal RNA". It matches the Rfam family "Bacterial small subunit ribosomal RNA", at positions 524 to 776 of the family's 1533-position model. The record is from RNAcentral.